AUUGAACGCUGGCGGCAGGCCUAACACAUGCAAGUCGAGCGGAUGAAGGGAGCUUGCUCCUGGAUUCAGCGGCGGACGGGUGAGUAAUGCCUAGGAAUCUGCCUGGCAGUGGGGGAUAACGUCCGGAAACGGGCGCUAAUAUCGCAUACGUCCUGAGGGUGAAAGUGGGGGUUCUUCGGACCUCACGCUUCCAGCUGAGACUAGGUCGGAUUAGCUAGUUGGUGGGGUAAAGGCCUACCAAGGCGACGAUCCGUAACUGAUCUGAGAGGAUGAUCAGUCACACUGGAACUGAGACACGGUCCAGACUCCUACGGGAGGCAGCAGUGGGGAAUAUUGGACAAUGGGCGAAAGCCUGAUCCAGCCAUGCCGCGUGUGUGAAGAAGGUCUUCGGAUUGUAAAGCACUUUAAGUUGGGAGGAAGGGCAGUAAGUUAAUACCUUGCUGUUUUGGCGUUACCAACAGAAUAAGCACCGGCUAACUUCGUG
RNAcentral lists this ribosomal RNA (484 nucleotides) under uncultured bacterium. Its description in RNAcentral is "partial 16S ribosomal RNA". It matches the Rfam family "Bacterial small subunit ribosomal RNA", at positions 30 to 507 of the family's 1533-position model. The record is from RNAcentral.